Molecule: ribosomal RNA, 1077 nt
Filed under: uncultured bacterium
Lineage: Bacteria
Description: bacterial SSU rRNA
Rfam family: Bacterial small subunit ribosomal RNA
Source: RNAcentral
CGGUGCAAAACUCCUACGGGAGGCAGCAGUGAGGAAUAUUGGUCAAUGGGCGGAAAGCUUGAACCAGCCAUACCGCGUGCAGGAAGGCGGCCUUAUGGGUUGUAAACUGCUUUUAUAAUGGGAUAGUGAUUAUAUCGUGCAUAUGAUAGGGAAGGUACAUUAUGAAUAAGUAUCGGCUAACUCCGUGCCAGCAGCCGCGGUAAUACGGAGGAUACGAGCGUUGUCCGGAUUUAUUGGGUUUAAAGGGUGCGUAGGCGGUUGAUUAGGUCUAUGGUGAAAUGGUUGUGCUCAACACAAUUUAGCUGUAGAAACCGGUCGGCUAGAAUAUAAGUGGCGUAGGCGGAAUAAAGCGUGUAGAGGUGACAUUCAUAGAUAUGCUUUAGAACACCGUUCGCGAAGGCGGCUUACGAAGGUAAAAUUGACGCUAAUGCACGAGAGCGUGGGGUAUCGAACAGAAUUAGAUACUCUGGUAGUCCACGCUGUAAACGAUGAUAACUAUAUGUCGGCGAUAGAAUGUCGGUGUAGAAGUGAAAGCGAUAAGUUAUCCACCUGGGGAGUACGAUCGCAAGGUUGAAACUCAAAGGAAUUGACGGGGGCCCGCACAAGCGGAGGAGCAUGUGGUUUAAUUCGAUGAUACGCGAGGAACCUUACCCGGGCUUGAACGUGAGAUGGAUAUCACAGAGAUGUGGUAGUUAGCAAUAACGUCUUGCGAGGUGCUGCAUGGUUGUCGUCAGCUCGUGCCGUGAGGUGUCAGGUUAAGUCCUAUAACGAGCGCAACCCUUGUUGUUAGUUACCAGCACGUGAAGGUGGGGACUCUAAUGAUACUGCCGGCGUAAGCCGCGAGGAAGGGGGGGAUGACGUCAAAUCAGCACGGCCCUUACGUCCGGGGCGACACACGUGCUACAAUGGUCAUUACAGAGGGCAGUUAGGCAGAGAUGUUGUACGAAUCUCUAAAGAUGGUCUUAGUACGGAUUGGGGUCUGCAACUCGACCUCAUGAAGUUGGAUUCGCUAGUAAUCGCAGAUCAGCCAUGCUGCGGUGAAUACGUUCCCGGGCCUUGUACACACCGCCCGUCAAG